RNAcentral lists this ribosomal RNA (579 nucleotides) under uncultured Flavisolibacter sp. Its description in RNAcentral is "bacterial SSU rRNA". It matches the Rfam family "Bacterial small subunit ribosomal RNA", at positions 335 to 915 of the family's 1533-position model. The record is from RNAcentral. Lineage: Bacteria; Pseudomonadati; Bacteroidota; Chitinophagia; Chitinophagales; Chitinophagaceae.
ACUCUACGGGAGGCAGCAGUAAGGAAUAUUGGUCAAUGGACGCAAGUCUGAACCAGCCAUGCCGCGUGAAGGAUGAAGGUCCUCUGGAUUGUAAACUUCUUUUAUAUGGGACGAAACCCGGGAAUUCUUUCCCGAUUGACGGUACCAUAAGAAUAAGCACCGGCUAACUCCGUGCCAGCAGCCGCGGUAAUACGGAGGGUGCAAGCGUUAUCCGGAUUCACUGGGUUUAAAGGGUGCGUAGGAGGGUAGGUAAGUCAGUGGUGAAAUCUUCGAGCUUAACUCGGAAACUGCCGUUGAUACUAUCUAUCUUGAAUACCGUGGAGGUGAGCGGAAUAUGUCAUGUAGCGGUGAAAUGCUUAGAUAUGACAUAGAACACCAAUUGCGAAGGCAGCUCGCUACACGAAUAUUGACUCUGAGGCACGAAAGCGUGGGGAUCAAACAGGAUUAGAUACCCUGGUAGUCCACGCCCUAAACGAUGGAUACUCGACAUACGCGAUACACAGUGUGUGUCUGAGCGAAAGCAUUAAGUAUCCCACCUGGGAAGUACGACCGCAAGGUUGAAACUCAAAGGAAUUGACG